UAUUAUUUCAUCGGGUAUCGU
RNAcentral lists this non-coding RNA (21 nucleotides) under Arabidopsis thaliana (thale cress). Lineage: Eukaryota; Viridiplantae; Streptophyta; Magnoliopsida; Brassicales; Brassicaceae. The record is from RNAcentral.